CAUAUCAAUAAGCGGAGGAAAAGAAACUAACAAGGAUUCCCCUAGUAACUGCGAGUGAAGCGGGAAAAGCUCAAAUUUAAAAUCUGGCAGUCUAUGGCUGUCCGAGUUGUAAUCUAGAGAAGUGUUAUCCGCGUUGGACCGUGUACAAGUCUCCUGGAAUGGAGCAUCAUAGAGGGUGAGAAUCCCGUCUUUGACACGGACUGCCAGGGCUUUGUGAUGCGCUCUCAAAGAGUCGAGUUGUUUGGGAAUGCAGCUCAAAAUGGGUGGUAAAUUCCAUCUAAAGCUAAAUAUUGGCGAGAGACCGAUAGCGAACAAGUACCGUGAGGGAAAGAUGAAAAGAACUUUGGAAAGAGAGUUAAACAGUACGUGAAAUUGCUGAAAGGGAAACGCUUGAAGUCAGUCACGUUGGCCAGGGAUCAACCUUGCUUUUGCUUGGUGUAUUUUCUGGUUGACGGGUCAGCAUCAAUUUUGAUCAUUGGAAAAAGGUCAAGGGAAUGUGGCAUCUUUGGAUGUGUUAUAGCCCUUGGUUGCAUACAAUGGUUGGGAUUGAGGAACUCAGCACGCCGUAAGGCCGGGUUUUUAACCACGUACGUGCUUAGGAUGCUGGCAUAAUGGCUUUAAUCGACCCGUCUUGAAACACGGACCAAGGAGUCUAACAUGCCUGCGAGUGUUUGGGUGGAAAACCCGAGCGCGCAAUGAAAGUGAAAGUUGAGAUCCCUGUCGUGGGGAGCAUCGACGCCCGGACCAGACCUUUUGUGACGGUUCCGCGGUAGAGCAUGUAUGUUGGGACCCGAAAGAUGGUGAACUAUGCCUGAAUAGGGUGAAGCCAGAGGAAACUCUGGUGGAGGCUCGUAGCGAUUCUGACGUGCAAAUCGAUCGUCAAAUUUGGGUAUAGGGGCGAAAGACUAAUCGAACUCAUCUAGUAGCUGG
RNAcentral lists this ribosomal RNA (930 nucleotides) under Thaxterogaster austrocyanites. RNAcentral's name for it is "Cortinarius austrocyanites partial large subunit ribosomal RNA". It matches the Rfam family "Eukaryotic large subunit ribosomal RNA", at positions 39 to 954 of the family's 3401-position model. The record is from RNAcentral. Lineage: Eukaryota; Fungi; Basidiomycota; Agaricomycetes; Agaricales; Cortinariaceae.